Molecule: ribosomal RNA, 93 nt
Filed under: uncultured bacterium
Lineage: Bacteria
Description: partial 16S ribosomal RNA
Source: RNAcentral
UUGUAAAGCACUUUCAGUGGGGAGGAGGGUUGACAGGUUAAGAGCUGGUUGACUGGACGUUACCCACAGAAGAAGCACCGGCUAACUCCGUGC